Molecule: ribosomal RNA, 450 nt
Filed under: uncultured Glomus
Lineage: Eukaryota; Fungi; Glomeromycota; Glomeromycetes; Glomerales; Glomeraceae
Description: SSU rRNA
Rfam family: Eukaryotic small subunit ribosomal RNA
Source: RNAcentral
AGCAGCCGCGGUAAUUCCAGCUCCAAUAGCGUAUAUUAAAGUUGUUGCAGUUAAAAAGCUCGUAGUUGAAUUUCGGGAUCAAUUUAUUGGUCGUGCUAUUGUACGUACUGGUAUUAUUGAUUCCUACCUUCUGACGAACCAUGAUGUCAUUAAUUUGGUGUCUUGGGGAAUCAGGACUGUUACUUUGAAAAGAUUAGAGUGUUUAAAGCAGGCUCACGCUUGAAUACAUUAGCAUGGAAUAACGAAAUAGGACGUUUGAUUCUAUUUUGUUGGUUUCUAGGAUCGACGUAAUGAUUAAUAGGGAUAGUUGGGGGCAUUAGUAUUCAAUUGUCAGAGGUGAAAUUCUUGGAUUUAUUGAAGACUAACUACUGCGAAAGCAUUUGCCAAGGAUGUUUUCAUUAAUCAAGAACGAAAGUUAGGGGAUCGAAGACGAUCAGAUACCGUCGUAGU